Molecule: ribosomal RNA, 445 nt
Filed under: uncultured bacterium
Lineage: Bacteria
Description: bacterial SSU rRNA
Rfam family: Bacterial small subunit ribosomal RNA
Source: RNAcentral
GUGAGGAAUAUUGGUCAAUGGGCGCAAGCCUGAACCAGCCAUGCCGCGUGCAGGAAGACGGUCCUAUGGAUUGUAAACUGCUUUUAUUUGGGAAUAAACUCCGGUACGUGUACCGGCCUGAAGGUACCAAAUGAAUAAGCACCGGCUAACUCCGUGCCAGCAGCCGCGGUAAUACGGAGGGUGCAAGCGUUAUCCGGAAUCAUUGGGUUUAAAGGGUCCGCAGGCGGUCUUAUAAGUAAGUGGUGAAAGCCUACAGCUCAACUGUAGAACUGCCAUUGAUACUGUAGGACUUGAAUUCGAUCGAAGUGGGCGGAAUGUGACAUGUAGCGGUGAAAUGCUUAGAUAUGUCACAGAACACCGAUAGCGAAGGCAGCUCACUAGGUCUGGAUUGACGCUCAGGGACGAAAGCGUGGGGAGCAAACAGGAUUAGAAACCCGGGUAGUCC